AAUAAAGCUACCCGUGAAACAAACCGGAUAAAUUCUAUGAGAUUGAUUUACAUACAAGUGUCAGGAAACUGACUUUAGCAGAAGCGGAAAUGACGUCUAUUCACACUCCAGUCAGGAGGUGGCGCCAAAAUCAAAAACAGACGCCACAGCACAUGGACUUCGCCAUUUUGCAUUGGACUGGAUCGUCAUCUCACUAGUUUACGAUCGCCAAAUUGUAGGUGAGUAAAGUUAACAAGUUUGAUGUGAUUAUCUAAAAUAUAAUUGUCUGUUGUUUAAUUACAUGUGUGACGCGUUGCAUGUUUCAGAGUAAAAUACACCUCACUACACAGAUGGUCUGUUGGAAUAUACAGCAUCAUUUCAUCGUCUAUAUGGUGGGAUUUAAUGAAAGAAAAUCAUUAAAUAUUGUGUUUUUUAGUCUUGUUCUAGUUGAAGACAUCUGUAUCUACCUCAAAGAAGGCAUGGAGAGACACAUUAAAGAAUAUGUGAAUUGUGAAAUUGGUGAGUUGGGGAUUGCACAGACAGUGGAAGUUUUGCAAAACCUACUUGGUGUCACACAUGGGUGUGAAAUUACUUUUUGGACUCAUUUAUGCACUUAAACUGAACUACCAGAAGAACCUCAGGUGCACCUUUGACCUUUCAAAAAAUCCUAAUGGAACUGGACUUGAUACAACCAAGCAAUCACUGAAAGAUGCUUCAGUGAAUACCUGACAGACACGCUGAUACAUCCCCCUCAAAGUGGGUACAUUUUUGUACAUUUACAAGUGAACUUUUUAACAUUAAAGGAAUAUUGCACUUUCAUUAAACAAAAAUACUGAUAAUUUACUGUCUGUCAUCCAAGAUGCUUGUCUUUUUUUGUUCAGUCGAGAAGAAAUUAUGUUUUUUGAGAGAAACAUUCCAGGAUUUUUCUUAAUUUAAUAGACCUUAUUGGACCUCAACAGUUAAGUUUCAAAGCAGCUUUAAAGGGCUCUAAACGAUCCCAACCAACCGAGGCAUAAGGGUUUAAUCUAUGCAAAAGAUUAUCAUUUUUGGCGAGAAAACUUUUAAAACACAACAACUUGUCUUGCAUUAUCCAUGUGACACACAGUGCGACAUUGUGUACUACGUAAUAAAUGUUAACACAUCACAAAUGUGAAACGCACAUUUGUUGACCAUUUUAAAUAAUAAACGGACCCAAAGACAUUAAUUAGUAUCAUUCCACAUACAACAACAUCUGAACGCUCCUCUUUCUCCUCGCUUGUAAACACUGGAACGGUAGUUUCAGUUAUGUCAUGCUAGUGUGUCAAACAGCUAGUGCAAAACGUUGUGAUUUAAAAGUCCUUUUUUAUUUUUAUUUUUGAAAAUGACAAUCGUUUAGCUAGAUAAGACCAUUAUGCCUUAUUUGGGAUAAUUUAGAGCCCUUUUAAAUCUGCAUUGAAACCGUAAACUUGAGGUCGAAUAAAGUCUUAAAUUGAGAAAAAUCCUGGAAUCUUUAACUCAAACUUUAUUUCUUCUUGACUGAACAAAGAAAAACAUAAACAUAUGGGGUUAGAAAAUUAUCGGGAUUUUUGUUUUAUUAAAUUGGAAUAUUGCUUUAACAAUUUUAAAAGUUGAAAAGUUUUUGAAAAAUGUAAUUGAUGUAUAUCUAACAUGUAAUUAGAGAUGCAUGAAAAUUGUUAAUGGCACACAGCCACUCAAAACACUAAGCCAUGUGCCAUUUUUUUUUCUUACCACCUAAUCAUUCUAAAUUAUUAUUAUUACAUCAUGUCACAGAUUUCUGAAAAUCUUAAAGUAAUGUUGUUGUCACUGAUUUAUGUCUACCUCGAGUUUUACAGGGUUUUUUGUAUUUCUGCAGCCUGUUUGCUCAAAAUGUUUGCUCUUAUUUUUGGAAUGAGGUUGAUUGUGGCUGAAAUUUCUAAACACACUUAUUUAUUUAUUUUUGCACACAAUACGAGGUGUAUAAGCCAUGGCUGUCAUGCUAGUUGUUAGCUGCUCUUUUUUUGCUGUCUUAUGAGUAAUGCCUUGAAGUAUUAAAUAAAUUGAU
Paramisgurnus dabryanus is the source of this 2020-nucleotide non-coding RNA. The record is from RefSeq and is a predicted model, not a curated record. Lineage: Eukaryota; Metazoa; Chordata; Actinopteri; Cypriniformes; Cobitidae.